CCCUUAGAUGUCCUGGGCUGCACGCGCGCUACACUGAUGUGUCCAGUAAGCACCUAACCUCUUCCGAAAGGAACGGGUAACCUUUGCAAAGCACAUCGUGAUGGGGAUAGAUUAUUGCAAUUAUUAGUCUUGAACGAGGAAUUCCUAGUAAGCACAAGUCAUCAGCUUGUGUUGAUUACGUCCCUGCCCUUUGUACACACCGCCCGUCGCUCCUACCGAUUGAAUGUUCCGGUGAGCUCUUCGGACUGCGCGGUCUGCAGUUUCUGCGUUCCGUGCGGAAAGUUGCGCAAACCUUAACAUUUAGAGGAAGGAGAAUUCGUAACA
RNAcentral lists this ribosomal RNA (324 nucleotides) under uncultured eukaryote. Its description in RNAcentral is "partial 18S ribosomal RNA". It matches the Rfam family "Eukaryotic small subunit ribosomal RNA", at positions 1470 to 1796 of the family's 1831-position model. The record is from RNAcentral.